Molecule: long non-coding RNA, 872 nt
Organism: Canis lupus familiaris (dog)
Lineage: Eukaryota; Metazoa; Chordata; Mammalia; Carnivora; Canidae
Exons: 3
Source: RefSeq, a predicted model, not a curated record
UUGUAAAGCUGAAUGAACAACUGCAGAAGAGGAUGGUAGGAGAGCUGAAGGAAUCAUGAUUCGAGUGGCAAGUUCUCUUCAGGGGAAACAUCUGGUUUUCUGGGAGUUAGAGGCAGAAGGAGCAUAGAGAUGGGAACAAAUGAUUAUAACAUAUGCUUGAUGCCUGGCCAGAAGUGUAUCCAGGGUGGGAGAGGCACAAAGGAGGCGGUGAGUUAUUCCCACUUAGAAUGAAAAGACAAGGAAAAGCUUCAUGGAGUAGGUGCUUUUGGAGCAAAGUGUGCUGGUCUUUCCAAGCCUGGACUUCCUGAGCGUCCCUGAAGCUAUAUCUGACUCCAGAGCCCGGACCUAGAGACAUUAGCUAGUGUGCAACUGCUGAGCAUGGCCAUCCCGGUGCCCAGGACUUGGGGAAGAGCAUUACACGCACCACCUUUUUAUCUGGGGGCAGAAACCUCCAAUUCUAAAGUCAGCAUUGGAGGCAGAGAGACAUUCCUGAGAGACCGGAAGCUUCUAGACCUUUCAGCCAGACCUUCGCAGCCUGGAAUAGCCUCAGCCAACAAUAGAGUCAGGAGUGUUCAUACCUGCUAUGAUCUGGUUAGCCCAGUCCAACUCUUACCUCCUCAUUGUGAUCAUUGUGGUUUUUAGAAGCCAUCCUGCUGAGGAGGUCAGCUAGAAGGAUCCUGUUUGGAGGUAGCAGCAGGUGAUAGAUGCCUUGCCUCGGAGGCAGCACACCCUCACAGUUGAGACCACCACCCGCACCUCAAAUCCCAUCACAGUUGUUUACCAGCUCUGGGACCUGCAGUUAAGUUGCUCAGCCUCCUGGAAGACCAUUUCCUUCAUCUGUAAAAAUGCAAAUAAAAUUAUUGUGAAAAAUA